This is a long non-coding RNA of Carlito syrichta (Philippine tarsier), 476 nucleotides long. RefSeq lists it as uncharacterized. The record is from RefSeq and is a predicted model, not a curated record. The transcript has 2 exons. Lineage: Eukaryota; Metazoa; Chordata; Mammalia; Primates; Tarsiidae.
CCUCGUCAGGACCUGGCUCUGCCCUCAGAGUCAGUCUGGAUCCAGGAGUGAUUCAUCUUACACAGAUGAGAGGGGGAUAAAAGGGAAGGAAUAGUCAGGACAAAUGUGUUUUCAAUGGUGCUUAGCAGCAGGAGACCACUGAGACUUCAGAGCAACGCUACUGGAGUGUGACAUCAUAAUACCCCAAAUACUGGAGUCUCGCCCCUCUUGGAGUUUAUGGGCCAAUUUCUCCCAAGAUGUGUGAGCUCGUUGUGUGCCUCCAGUGGCGGCCAGCCCUGAGUGACAGCGCCUCGGCGUCUGGAAGCCCCACUGGGUUGUGAAAUGAACAAGGCCCUCCGUGUCCCCGAUCCGGCCGGGCAAGCCCUGGGGGCUCCCGGAGCAAGCAUCUCCCAGCCCCUAAAGGGCAGACAUAUAUCCUGCCUUUAAGACAAGACUACAAUUGCAAAUCCAAGAAUAUAAAUUACACUUUCAUCUUU